Solanum stenotomum is the source of this 1322-nucleotide long non-coding RNA. RefSeq lists it as uncharacterized. The record is from RefSeq and is a predicted model, not a curated record. The transcript is spliced from 2 exons. NCBI's taxonomy places the organism in Eukaryota, Viridiplantae, Streptophyta, Magnoliopsida, Solanales, Solanaceae.
UCUCUAUCCUAUCCCCCCUCGUGUCUUUGGGAGCACAUGCUUUGUUCAUAAUUUAGCCCCAUGGAAAGAUAAAUUAGCUCCUCGUGCCCUCAAAUGUGUCUUUCUUGGUUACUCUCGAGUUCAAAAAGGGUAUCUUUGUUAUUCACAUGAUCUUCAUCGAUACCUUAUGUCAGCUGAUGUUACAUUUUUUGAGUCUCAUCCUUACUAUACAUCUUCUGAUUAUCCUGAUGUAUCUAUGGUCUUACCUAUACAUCAGGUUUUACCUGUGCCAACCUUUGAAGAAUCUACGGUUACUUCUACAUCUCCAGUUGUAGUGCCACCACUACUAACUUCUCAUCGCCUUCCACGUCCAGCCCUAGUCCCUGAUGAUUCAUGUCAUGCACCAGACCCUACUCCUACUGCGGACUUGCCUCCUCCUAGCCAACCGCUUGCACUUCAAAAAGGUAUACAAUCCACUCGAAAUACUAACCCACAUUAUACCUUCUUAAGUUAUCAUUGUCUAUCAUCACCCAUUAUGCCUUUGUGUCGUCUUUGUCCUCUAUUUCCAUUCCUAAGACUACAGGUGAAACACUUUCUCAUUCUGGAUGGAGGCAUGCUAUAGUUGAUGAGAUGUCUGCUUUGCAUAAGAGUGGUACUUGGGAACUUGUCUCCCUUCCUGCAGGAUGCUGUAAUGUUUAAGAUCACGUCUGCAUCUCAGUUGUAGAUGAAUCUGGCGAGUCUCCAACAAUUGAUUUUUUGAAGGCUUACAUGGAUGAAGUGGGUGGGGUUAAGAAGGCAUGUUUAUAUGGUCUUGGUUCUCAAGCAGCUUUCUAUGAGAACGUUGGUUCAUCAUCUUCUUCAACUACUCAAUCUCAAGAUUGUGAUUUUGAUACUCGAGUGAAGGAGUACGUUCAAGAAAUGAAGGAGGAGAUGAAGGAUGAGAUGAGAGAAAAAUUGUGUGAAGAAAUGAAACAUGAAAUGCAGCUAGAAAUGCAAGAGCAAGUUGAUAAGAUUCUCCAAGAACAUUUGCCUAUCCUCAUAGCUGGCCUACCUAAACCACCCUGUGGUACACCACCCUUUGAUACACCAAAUUAGCUUAGACAUGACUCAUCAUCACAUAACAAUAUGGGUCAUUUAAAAUUUCCAACCUAUCUUAGGCAGAUUUUUCUUUCUUUGUUUCCAUAUUUGGAUUUAUUUUGAACUCUUUUUGUUAGGAUCUGCAUUGCUAAUUUCAAGUUAUAACUUGUCAAAGAAUUACUGUUUUUAUUAUGUUUCUGGGCUCUUUAAGAUUUGUAAAAGAUAUUUAUUGAUGUAAAUAUAUAAAGUGAAAUUUUACUAUCGAA